This 253-nucleotide ribosomal RNA is filed under the name uncultured bacterium. RNAcentral's name for it is "partial 16S ribosomal RNA". It matches the Rfam family "Bacterial small subunit ribosomal RNA", at positions 524 to 776 of the family's 1533-position model. The record is from RNAcentral.
UACAGAGGUCCCAAGUGUUGUUCGGAUUCACUGGGCGUAAAGGGUGCGUAGGUGGUGAGGUAAGUCGGAUGUGAAAUCUCCGAGCUCAACUCGGAAAUGGCAUUGGAAACUACCUUGCUUGAGGGUUGGAGGGGGGACUGGAAUACUUGGUGUAGCAGUGAAAUGCGUAGAUAUCGUAAGGAAGACCAGUGGCGAAGGCGGGUCUCUGGACAGUUCCUGACGCUGAGGCACGAAGGUCAGGGGAGCAAACGGG